This 253-nucleotide ribosomal RNA is filed under the name uncultured bacterium. RNAcentral's name for it is "partial 16S ribosomal RNA". It matches the Rfam family "Bacterial small subunit ribosomal RNA", at positions 524 to 776 of the family's 1533-position model. The record is from RNAcentral.
UACAGAGGGUGCAAGCGUUGUUCGGAAUUAUUGGGCGUAAAGCGCGUGUAGGCGGCUUUGCAAGUCGGGUGUGAAAGCCCUCAGCUCAACUGAGGAAGUGCGCCCGAAACUGCAGAGCUUGAGUACCGGAGAGGAUGGCGGAAUUCCCCAAGUAGAGGUGAAAUUCGUAGAUAUCUGGAGGAAUACCGGUGGCGAAGGCGGCAUCCUGGACCGGCAUUGACGCUGAAGCGCGAAAGCUAGGGGAGCAAACGGG